AAUGGAACGGGUCCGUCCCUCGCUCUUGUCUCCCUCCCGAUGCUGCCUCGCAAAUCUUCUCCCUCAUAGUAGUUGCUCUUCCCCUCUCGUCUCACCCAUGGCCGGUGAUUCUCCUCUCACGUCUCUCACUCUGCGCGGAUUUAGGGCUGUCAACCCUCUCAUCCCCGUUGCCCUCAUCCCUGCCGGCAGUGGCGGCGCUGCACCACAGAUCUGGCCAAGGAAGACAAGCGGCGGGUGCGUCAGAGCGGCGGCACGCCGGAGCAACAAGCGUGUCUGAGGAUUUGCAUCACCCUCAUCUCUACGUGCCUAAUCACCGUUUCCUACAGCAUGUGCGUCGGAUCUUGCUUGCUGGAAGCGACCUGGCUAGAUGCUGUGGAGGGCGGCAGCAACCUUGCUUGCUUCAGAUGUGAGAGGGAUCGUGACGCUCUUAUGCGGCUCUGCGCAAGAAUGGUUAGAAGAGGCAGCUCUGAAUUUAGUGCUUAGAGUCAGUAUGUUCUUGCGCAGGUGGGAUUGUAGUAUAUUUAUCAUAAUAAGCAGUGUGUGUUUCUUCUUCAAAUCACUA
Hordeum vulgare subsp. vulgare (domesticated barley) is the source of this 562-nucleotide long non-coding RNA. RefSeq lists it as uncharacterized. NCBI's taxonomy places the organism in Eukaryota, Viridiplantae, Streptophyta, Magnoliopsida, Poales, Poaceae. The transcript is spliced from 2 exons. The record is from RefSeq and is a predicted model, not a curated record.